Molecule: long non-coding RNA, 1275 nt
Filed under: Bemisia tabaci
Lineage: Eukaryota; Metazoa; Arthropoda; Insecta; Hemiptera; Aleyrodidae
Description: lncRNA ENSSWEETPG002952
Source: RNAcentral
GGGAAUAAUCUACUUCUUCCUCAUGACUUAUAUGUUCCUGAUUUUACUAAUAUAAACCUCGUAAUCUAAAGACAAUGUCCAAGUUUAAUUUAGGAAGUACCUGAAGAGUUUCAUGGAAUUCCAUAGCUUUUUCCAUCGCAUGGAUCAAAUUUUCUUCACGCUUGGCAAACAAGGCUGUGAUUGUAUCCCAGGCAUUGUCUAAAUCUUCAAUGUGUUUCUUGACUUCCGGUUUAUCAGGUUCGCCACACACUUUCAUCAACUGCUGACCAGUGGCACGACAGUGCUCAACUUCUGGUUUUGUCUGCAAAUUAAUACGCCAAUUUGGUAAGUAAAAUUUGCUUGAACAGCUUGAAAAAGAUCAUUGAAUAUGAAGAUUUUUAACUUUGAAACGGAAAUAAAGUUAAAAAAGAAUAUUGUUCAAAUAAGUUUUUUGAACUUUGGAGCAGAACUCAAAAAAAAGUUUUAACUUCAUCAAUCAUGACAUUUCAGCAAUGUCUAAGUUUUCAUAAAUUACAUGUCACACACGCCUUCCUUUAAUUUAUCAUAUUAGGAGAGAGCUACAAAAACAGCUAUUAUACAUGCAUUUUCAGCUUUUAUUGCAUCAUCUAAAUGUAUUUAUUAACAUCUAUUUUUAAUUAGGUUCAUUGCUGAGAACUGAUAGGUAUAUUCUGAGCAGACAUGCAUCCUGAUUAAGAAGAACAAUAACUGAACAAUCGCUUGAAUAAGCAAAAUGAUUUGCCGGAUAAUGAUCCGAAUAAACUCAAGAAUUUUCUAGAAAAUUACCUGAUCAAUUUCAGCCUUGAUGUCUUUGAGAGCUUCUCUCUGCUGCUUGAUAAUUUCAGGCUGUACUGCUGGUGGUUCCUGAGAGUUGAGCGAGUGUUGAAGGUCACGGAGACGAGCCAUGACACUUUGAAGCUCAUCCCAGAAACGCUCAGCGAUGGCCAGAGCUUCUUCCAAUCUUGAUAACAUCAUUGGCUGCUUUCUUCACUGCCUGGAAUGCUUCUUCUCGCUUGUCCAAAUCCUCAAUCAGUACAUUGUUCUCAUCAAUUUGAUCCCUGAUACGUGGAGGAUGAGCUGAAAUGGGGUCAGCUCCAGCCACCUGAUCCGCGGUGUUGGCCAAUGCACGCAACAUACCCUCAAGCUUAUCACUAAAUUGACUAGAUUCCUGCAAUGAAGAGAAUAAAGUAUUUAUCAAAUUGAGAACUAGGCUCAAACAGACUCUGAAUGAUGAUAGAUCCAAACCAAACUCCAAUUCGACCUUGGAAAAGAUUCUUA